UGGACUUCAUGACGGAACGCGAUGCUGGGUCGGGAUCGUCGGACUCUGAAUUUCGAGCUGUGGUCUGGUGAGUACUGCUAAAUUUAAGGCUGAACCAAACCACACCCUAAACUUAACCGUCACAGACCCAGCGGUUUAAAAACCUAGCCGGUUUAAUUCUAACACAGCUAAAUUUAAGGCUGAACUAAAACACACCCUAAACUUAACCAUCAUAGACCCAGUGUUUAUAGUCUAACGAUGACACUUACCGUCUUUGGGACAAGGCAGUCUGGCUGAAACAGGACUUCAUGGCGGAACUCGAUGCUGGGUCGGGAUCGUCGGACUCUGAAUUUCGAGCUGUGGUCUGGUUGCCUUGUUUAAAUCUGGCUGGGGGACUACAGAUGAAAAUUAGCACUUUUGAGCUAACUCGGACCAGAUAGUGGAUUGG
Molecule: long non-coding RNA, 427 nt
Organism: Carassius gibelio (silver crucian carp)
Lineage: Eukaryota; Metazoa; Chordata; Actinopteri; Cypriniformes; Cyprinidae
Exons: 3
Source: RefSeq, a predicted model, not a curated record